Molecule: ribosomal RNA, 253 nt
Filed under: uncultured bacterium
Lineage: Bacteria
Description: partial 16S ribosomal RNA
Rfam family: Bacterial small subunit ribosomal RNA
Source: RNAcentral
UACGUAGGGUGCGAGCGUUGUCCGGAUUUAUUGGGCGUAAAGCGCCCGCAGGCGGCCAGGCAAGUCCAGGGUGAAAUCUCCCGGCUCAACCGGGAGGGUGCCCUGGAAACUGCUUGGCUUGAGGCAGGGAGAGGGAUGUGGAAUUCCCGGUGUAGUGGUGAAAUGCGUAGAUAUCGGGAGGAACACCAGUGGCGAAGGCGGCAUCCUGGCCCUGUCCUGACGCUCAGGGGCGAAAGCGUGGGGAGCAAACCGG